AGUUUAAGUAGUUUAAUAAAAAUAUAAGUUUGUGGUGCUUAAGAAGAAGGGAUCCUUAUACUAU
RNAcentral lists this transfer RNA (64 nucleotides) under Neelus murinus. Its description in RNAcentral is "tRNA-His". The record is from RNAcentral. Lineage: Eukaryota; Metazoa; Arthropoda; Collembola; Neelipleona; Neelidae.